Molecule: ribosomal RNA, 851 nt
Filed under: uncultured bacterium
Lineage: Bacteria
Description: bacterial SSU rRNA
Rfam family: Bacterial small subunit ribosomal RNA
Source: RNAcentral
AAUGAACGUUGGCGGCGUGGAUUAGGCAUGCAAGUCGUACGGGCCGCAAGGCCAGUGGCGCAAGGGUGAGUAAGGCGACGGUAACCAACCCCACGACUGGGUAUAGCCGCGGGAAACUGCGGGUAAUCCCCAGCGACGUCCGAGGGGGGCAUCCCCCCCGGACCAAAGCCCCGGCGUCGUGGGACGGGCUGUCGUGGUAUUAGCUAGUUGGCGGGGUAACGGCCCACCAAGGCGUUGAUGCCUACCGGGCGUGCGAGCGUGGCCCGGCACACUGGGACUGAGACACUGCCCAGACUCCUACGGGAGGCUGCAGUCGAGAAUCUUCGGCAAUGGGCGCAAGCCUGACCGAGCGACGCCGCGUGGAGGACGAAGGCCUUCGGGUUGUAAACUCCUGUCGAGGGGGAAGAAGGGGCGAGAGCCCUUGACUGAUCCCUGGAGGAAGCACGGGCUAAGUUCGUGCCAGCAGCCGCGGUAAGACGAACCGUGCGAACGUUAUUCGGAAUCACUGGGCUUAAAGCGCGUGUAGGCGGGCGGGAACGUCGGUCGCUGAAAUCCCCCGGCUCAACCGGGGAAGGGGCGCCGAAACGGUUCGCCUGGAGGAACGUAGGGGGAGCUGGAACUUCCGGUGGAGCGGUGAAAUGCGUUGAGAUCGGAAGGAACGCCCGUGGCGAAAGCGAGCUCCUGGACGUUUUCUGACGCUGAGACGCGAAAGCCAGGGGAGCGAACGGGAUUAGAUACCCCGGUAGUCCUGGCCGUAAACGAUGGGCACUGGGUAGGGGGCUCGCCGAUGGGCUCCCUGCCGUAGGGAAACCGUGAAGUGCCCCGCCUGGGGAKUAUGGUCGCAAGGCUGA